RNAcentral lists this ribosomal RNA (469 nucleotides) under uncultured bacterium. RNAcentral's name for it is "SSU rRNA". It matches the Rfam family "Bacterial small subunit ribosomal RNA", at positions 26 to 521 of the family's 1533-position model. The record is from RNAcentral.
AGCCUGAACGCUGGCGGCGUGGCUAAGACAUGCAAGUCGUACGGGUGUAGCAAUACACCAGUGGCGAACGGGUGAGUAAUGUAUCGCUAACGUGCCCCUAUGUCUGGGAUAGCCAUCCGAAAGGAUGGGUAAUACCGGAUGAGACCACAAUCCCGCAUGGGAUGGUGCUCAAAGGAGUAAUCCGCAAAGGGAGCGGGCGAUAUCGUAUCAGCUAGUUGGUGAGGUAACGGCCCACCAAGGCGACGACGCGUAGCCGGGCUGAGAGGUCGGCCGGCCACAUUGGGACUGAGACACUGCCCAGACUCCUACGGGGGCUGCAGUAACGAAUCUUCCGCAAUGCACGAAAGUGUGACGGAGCGACGCCGCGUGGAGGACGAAGUUCUUCGGAAUGUAAACUCCUGUCAGGGGCAACCAAGUUCUGAGGUGCCCCAGAGGAAGGCACGGCUAACUCUGCGCCAGCAGCCGCGGU